RNAcentral lists this small RNA (169 nucleotides) under Gopherus agassizii (Agassiz's desert tortoise). RNAcentral describes it as "TUC338 (ENSGAGG00000010795.1)". Lineage: Eukaryota; Metazoa; Chordata; Testudines; Testudinidae. The record is from RNAcentral.
UGAAUGGUGCCAUAUAAUGAAUCCUCUAGUUUCCUUCAAAGAAAAAAUGCAAAUAGUGCAAGCUUCUGACAUGGAUCUACUAAUGUGCCUCAAUCCUGAACUGCAGGGAUCACCUUUAAGGGAUAAGAGGGUAGCUCAUUCUCUAUGCUGACUUCAUCUUUUGGCCUCU